AGAGUUUGAUCCUGGCUCAGGACGAACGCUGGCGGCGUGCUUAACACAUGCAAGUCAAGGGGGCCCAGCAAUGGGCAACCGGCGAACGGGUGCGUAACACGUGAGCAACCUACCGAAGUGUGGGGGAUAGCCGGCCUAACGGCCGAGUAAUACCGCAUACGAUUCCGAAGAGGCAUUUCUUUGGAAUGAAACCUACGGGACACUUCGAGGGGCUCGCGGCCUAUCAGCUAGUUGGUGAGGUAACGGCUCACCAAGGCGACGACGGGUAGCUGGUCUGAGAGGAUGGCCAGCCACAUUGGGACUGAGAAACGGCCCAGACUCCUACGGGAGGCAGCAGUGGGGAAUCUUGCGCAAUGGCCUAACGGCUGACGCAGCGACGCCGCGUGAGGGAUGAAGCUCCUCGGAGUGUAAACCUCUGUUGCCCGGGACGAACAGCUCGUUUAAACGAGCCUGACGGUACCGGGUGAGGAAGCACCGGCUAACUCCGUGCCAGCAGCCGCGGUAAUACGGGGGGUGCGAGCGUUGUCCGGAAUCACUGGGCGUAAAGGGCGCGUAGGUGGUCUGAUAAGGGUGUGGUGAAAGUCCGGGGCUCAACCCCGGAUCUGCCGUGCCGACUGUCAGACUCGAGGACUGUAGAGGCAGGCGGAAUUCCGGGUGUAGCGGUGGAAUGCGUAGAGAUCCGGAGGAAGACCGGUGGCGAAGGCGGCCUGCUGGGCAGUUUCUGUCACUGAGGCGCGACAGCGUGGGGAGCAAACAGGAUUAGAUACCCUGGUAGUCC
RNAcentral lists this ribosomal RNA (778 nucleotides) under uncultured bacterium. RNAcentral's name for it is "bacterial SSU rRNA". It matches the Rfam family "Bacterial small subunit ribosomal RNA", at positions 8 to 796 of the family's 1533-position model. The record is from RNAcentral.